UGGAAACAAACUAAAAUCCUUAUUUCUCUCAUUCAAAUAAGUAGGGGAUUUCAUCCACAUCUCUAAAAUAUGUUUUGGGUGGAAACAAACUAAAAUCCUAAUCCUAAUUUCUCACAUUCAAGUAACUAAGAGAUUUCAUCCACAUCUCUAAAUUAACUUUUUGGUGCAAACAAACUAAAAUCCUUAUUUCUCUCAUCCAAAUAAUUAGGGGAUUUCAUCCACAUCUCUAAAAUAUGUUUUGGGUGGAAACAAACUAAAAAUCCUAAUUCCUCUCAUUCAAGUAACUACUAAAGAUUUCAUCCACAUCUCUAAAAUAUGUUUUGGGUGGAAACAAACUAAAAUCCUAAUCCUAA
RNAcentral lists this long non-coding RNA (353 nucleotides) under Medicago truncatula (barrel medic). RNAcentral describes it as "long non-coding RNA (MTRU_LNC003795)". The record is from RNAcentral. Lineage: Eukaryota; Viridiplantae; Streptophyta; Magnoliopsida; Fabales; Fabaceae.